This is a long non-coding RNA of Vespula pensylvanica (western yellowjacket), 300 nucleotides long. RefSeq lists it as uncharacterized. The transcript is spliced from 2 exons. NCBI's taxonomy places the organism in Eukaryota, Metazoa, Arthropoda, Insecta, Hymenoptera, Vespidae. The record is from RefSeq and is a predicted model, not a curated record.
GUACCAUCGAGAAUCUUGCUACGGCCCUGGAAAAUGUAUUACUGCCAGGUGAAGCAGUAGAGGUGUGAAUCGUGUGUUCUCGGGAGCGCACGCGCAAUGUGGCCACCAGUCUGUCGCAUUUCUGCGCUACAAGUGCUUUCAUAAAUGAAAAUCAAAAGGAAACCAAGAAAACGGAGAUUAAAAUAUUUUUUUUUCACCAAGGUAUCAUCAACAUAACAAGCUAACUAUACGUAACAAGAAUAGCAUUCAUAGAUAUGAUCGACCGAUGAUUUUAGAAAUUAAAAUGAAUUUAACCAUCAA